This 132-nucleotide small nuclear RNA is filed under the name Penicillium italicum. RNAcentral describes it as "U4 spliceosomal RNA". It matches the Rfam family "U4 spliceosomal RNA". From Rfam's summary of the family: U4 small nuclear RNA (U4 snRNA) is a component of the major U2-dependent spliceosome. Lineage: Eukaryota; Fungi; Ascomycota; Eurotiomycetes; Eurotiales; Aspergillaceae. The record is from Rfam by way of RNAcentral.
AUCCUAGUGCACGGGUUUUACACGUAUCAGUGAGGAGACAUCCGAGAUCGUGUUUUUGCUAGUUGAAAACUACCAAAUUGACUACUUCAAGUGAGCCUAAUCGCACGCUUGGGAAUUUUUGAAACCACCUUG